Molecule: transfer RNA, 73 nt
Filed under: Rickettsiaceae bacterium
Lineage: Bacteria; Pseudomonadati; Pseudomonadota; Alphaproteobacteria; Rickettsiales; Rickettsiaceae
Description: tRNA-Lys
Rfam family: tRNA
About the family: Transfer RNA (tRNA) molecules are approximately 80 nucleotides in length. Their secondary structure includes four short double-helical elements and three loops (D, anti-codon, and T loops). Further hydrogen bonds mediate the characteristic L-shaped molecular structure. tRNAs have two regions of fundamental functional importance: the anti-codon, which is responsible for specific mRNA codon recognition, and the 3' end, to which the tRNAs corresponding amino acid is attached (by aminoacyl-tRNA synthetases). tRNAs cope with the degeneracy of the genetic code in two manners: having more than one tRNA (with a specific anti-codon) for a particular amino acid; and 'wobble' base-pairing, i.e. permitting non-standard base-pairing at the 3rd anti-codon position.
Source: RNAcentral
GGGAUUGUAACUCAAUGGUUAGAGUGAUUGCCUUUUAAGCAAUAAGUUGUAGGUUCGACCCCUACCGGUCUCA